AUUGAACGCUGGCCGCAGGCCUAACACAUGCAAGUCGAGCGGAGCGGCGGACGGGUUAGUCCUGCCUAGGAAUCUGCCUGGUAGUGGGGGAUAACGUCCGGAAACGGGCGCUAAUACCGCAUACUAUCAGAUGAGCCUAGGUCGGGUUAGCUAGUUGGUGGGGUAAAGGCCUACCAAGGCGACGAUCCGUAACUGGUCUGAGAGGAUGAUCAGUCACACGGGAACGGAGACACGGUCCAUGUUCCUACGGGAGGUAGCAGUGGGGAAUAUUGGAAAAUGGGCGAAAGCCUGGUCCAGCCAUGCCGCGUGUGUGAAGAAGGUCUUCGGAUUGUAAAGCACUGUAAGUUGGGAGGCGUUACCAACAGAAUAAGCACCGGCUAACUUCGUGCCAGCAGCCGCGGUAAUUA
RNAcentral lists this ribosomal RNA (407 nucleotides) under uncultured bacterium. Its description in RNAcentral is "partial 16S ribosomal RNA". It matches the Rfam family "Bacterial small subunit ribosomal RNA", at positions 30 to 525 of the family's 1533-position model. The record is from RNAcentral.